GGGGCCGAUCGGUUUCGACGGUAGAUGUCCAGCGAGGGGAAGCGGGCCGAGGAGCCACAGUCAUCUCGUUAACGAUCUGUGGAAACCAAUAAGUGCCGAACCUAAGCGCACUGACUUCGCUCUCGCUGCCUGAUCAGCGAGUAGCAGUCUGGACCGUCAGGAGCUGCUCGCGACCUGGCCUGUCCAUCAUUGAGCGAGCCACUGCUUCCCGUGCUUGUCAUCGGCACGGGGUGAACACUUCAGAAUGACUGAGUUCGUCGGCGACAUGUCUGUGUGAGCGCCGGAACUGAGAAAACGCCUUUCGCAGACUGCGCCCGGAGAAGCCCUGGCUUCGCACUAUCGGACGCGGGUUCGAUUCCCGCCGGCUCCACCU
This 373-nucleotide transfer-messenger RNA is filed under the name Helcobacillus massiliensis. RNAcentral's name for it is "Standard tmRNA". It matches the Rfam family "transfer-messenger RNA". From Rfam's summary of the family: Bacterial tmRNA, also known as 10Sa RNA or SsrA, is named for its dual tRNA and mRNA-like properties. Its role is to liberate the mRNA from a stalled ribosome. To accomplish this part of the tmRNA is used as a reading frame that ends in a translation stop signal. The record is from Rfam by way of RNAcentral. Lineage: Bacteria; Bacillati; Actinomycetota; Actinomycetes; Micrococcales; Dermabacteraceae.